AGCAGCCGCGGUAAUUCCAGCUCCAAUAGCGUAUAUUAAAGUUGUUGCAGUUAAAAAGCUCGUAGUUGAAUUUCGGGAUCAAUAUAUCGGUCGUGCCAUCGGUACGUACUGGUAUGAUUGGUUUCUCCUUUCUGACGAACCAUGAUGUCAUUAAUUUGGUGUUAUGGGAAGUUAGGACUGUUACUUUGAAAAAUUAGAGUGUUUAAAGCAGGCUUUAGCUUGAAUACAUUAGCAUGGAAUAAUGAAAUAGGACGUUUGACCCUAUUUUGUUGGUUUCUAGGAUCGACGUAAUGAUUAAUAGGGAUAGUUGGGGGCAUUAGUAUUCAAUUGUCAGAGGUGAAAUUCUUGGAUUUAUUGAAGACUAACUACUGCGAAAGCAUUUGCCAAGGAUGUUUUCAUUAAUCAAGAACGAAAGUUAGGGGAUCGAAGACGAUCAGAUACCGUCGUAGU
This 450-nucleotide ribosomal RNA is filed under the name uncultured Glomus. RNAcentral describes it as "SSU rRNA". It matches the Rfam family "Eukaryotic small subunit ribosomal RNA", at positions 569 to 1024 of the family's 1831-position model. The record is from RNAcentral. Lineage: Eukaryota; Fungi; Glomeromycota; Glomeromycetes; Glomerales; Glomeraceae.